Molecule: long non-coding RNA, 2796 nt
Filed under: Ficedula albicollis (Collared flycatcher)
Lineage: Eukaryota; Metazoa; Chordata; Aves; Passeriformes; Muscicapidae
Description: lncRNA (ENSFALG00000025567.1)
Source: RNAcentral
GGAAUGGCCCUGUCAUCCAGAGCAUCCAUCCCAGGGGAUGGGAGAUUUGGGGUGGGAAUGGCCCUGUCAUCCAGAGCAUCCAUCCCAGGGGAUGGGAGAUUUGGGGUGGGAAUGGCCCUGUCAUCCAGAGCAUCCAUCCCAGGGGAUGGGAGAUUUGGGGUGGGGAUGGCCAUACAGGACACAGAGUCCCCAUUCCAAGGGUUAGGGAUUUGGGAUGGGAAUGGUCACACAAAACACGGAGUCCCUAUUCCAAGGAAUGGGGAUUUGGGGUGGGAAUGGUCCUGUGAUCCAGAACAUCCAUCUCUUGGGAUUUGGGGUUUGGGGUGGGAAUGGUCCUGUCAUCCAGAAUAUCCAUCCCGAGGGAUGGGGGGUUUGGGGUGGGAAUGGGCCUGUCAUCCAGGACAUCCAUCCUGAUGAAUGGGGGAUUUGGGAAGUUUUGGGAUGGGAAUGGUCACACAGGAUACAGAGCCCCCAUUACAAGGAAUGGGGAUUUGGGAUGGGAAUGGUCCUGUCAUCCAGAGCACCCAUCCCUCAGGAUUUGGGGUUUGGGGUGGGAAUAGUCCUGUCAUCCAGAACACCCAUCCCUCAGGAUUUGGGGUUUGGAGUGGGAAUAGUCCUGUCAUCCAGAACACCCAUCCCUCAGGAUUUGGGGUUUGGGGUGGGAAUAGUCCUGUCAUCCAGAACACCCAUCCCUCAGGAUUUGGGGUUUGGGGUGGGAAUAGUCCUGUCAUCCAGAACACCCAUCCCUCAGGAUGGGGGGUUUUGGGGUGGGAAUGGUCACACAGGACGGAGAGCCCCCAUUCCAAGGGAUGGGAGAUUUGGGGUGGGAAUGGUCCUGUCAUCCAGAGCACCCAUCCCUCGGGAUGGGGGUUUUUGGGGUGGGAACGUCCCUGUCACACGGGACACAGAGCCCCUGUCCCAGGGGCCAGAGAGGUUUUGGGGUGCCGUGAGCGCUUUGGCAGAAGAGCAGGGGAAGCCGCUGCCAAGCAGCUGCAAUUCCCGCCGGGAGCAGGGAUGCUGGGCGAGGUGAGGAAGAGGAGGGAGGUGCUGGGGGGCUCCCACGGCGGUGUCUGCACCCGAGCCGUGACACAAAUGCGGCCGGACAGACAUACAGAGCACGUAAACAGGCACAUGGGGAGAGCAUGUGCUGCUCCGUGCCGCUGGUGCAGAGCGAGCCCCGAGCGAAAAAGGCACACGCACACACGGCCGCACACACGCAGCAUCCCCACGGGGGAUCCUCCCUGCCUGGCCUGCAUUUCCUGGAGUGCUCAGGAGGAAUAAAAACAAAACAAAACAAAACAAAACAAACAAAAAAAAAAAAAACCACAACACAAAAAAAAAAAAAAAAGAGAGAGAGAGGAGCUGGAGAGGUGAACGCCACGGAACGGUGAUGGGAAUGGCUUUGUACACGGCGCUAAAAAUAGUCCUUGCGAUAAAGUCGAUGGUGCGGGGGGAGGAGGAGGUGCCGGCAGCGCACGGAUGCCGGCGAGGGAAGCCAGGGGUUGGGAAGCCCUGGAUGGAGCAGAAGUGCCAUAAUUAGAGCUGGUAAUUAGCCCCAAGCAGCACUGAGAGAAGUGAAGGGGCUGGUUGCGCCCUCUCCUCUUGGGAUGGAGGCUUUGCCAGCCGAGAAAAUGAGAAGCGAGCAGCUGGAAUUGGGGUCCUUUGAAGGGAGACGGGGAUUUUGGGGUGUUUAGGGCGAGGAAGGCUCUCUGCAGCUCUGAGGGACACGAGGAAGAGCCAAAGCCUGUGGAAGGAGCCCUGAUGGGGAAGAGAGAGGAUCUGUGGGGAGCCAGGUGCUGGAAAGAAUUUCGGCUCAGGAGUGGGUGUGGGGUGCAGGGAUGGGUCGGGACGGAAAAGCAAAGGAUGUGUGACUUUGGAGAUGGUCCUUUCACCCCCGGCAGGUCCCACACACCAAACCCCAGCUGUGCCAGCCCUGUCCUGAUCCAGCUGGGAUCCCCAGCUCCAGCCCGAGCUGGUGUGGAGAGGAGAAAAAGCUGGAUUUUCCGGAGGUUUUUUUAUUAAACCCCGUGUCCCUGUUGCCCCCUGGCACAGCGAGGAAAGGUCCCUGCGUGCCGUGGGAACAACGUCCUGCCAUGCUCGAUGCUGCUGCUGCUGCCCCACACCGGGAAUUUGAGGCAGGAUGGAGCUGACACAACUGGGCUCAGUGCCCGUCUCAUUGCCCAAGGGAGGAGGAGGAGGAGGAGGAGGAGGAGGAGGAGGAGGGGGACACGAUGCCAGCCAGCACAUGGGUGCCACUCAGCCUGUCCCCUCCGCCCACGCUGCUGCUGAUGGACAGAGCCCCAAAAUCUCACCUCGAGGGAUCCAUGAGCAGCUCCAGAGGCAGGAGCAACCCCCUCCGUGUGGGGAAACUGAGGCACAGUGGCAGCAGGAGGGGUUGGGAGGGUUAAAUUCCCUGAUUUGCAGUGAUGAUUUGCAGUGAUCUCUUCGAGCAGUUCUCUCCGCAUCCUUCACCUGCAUCCCGGAGGAUGCUGAGGCACCAAACACCACCCCUGAGACCAGGCACAGUCUCAAAAAUGGGAAGUGUGGUGCCACUUGGAGGAAAAAAACAAAAAUCUAAAUAACCUAAGCAACUUUUGGGUGAGUUUUCCCCCCUUUUUUGGCAGCUGGCAGGGGACAGGAGGGGACACGGUGGGGGACAGGAGCAGACCCCUCCCUGCUGUCUCCCAUCACGUGAAUAUUCCGGGUAUUUCUCACCAUUCCCAAAGCCCUUUCUUGCAGGCUUUGCCUGUAAAUGACUUUAAUCUUCAUAAGCCCAAAAAGGAAAGCAGCUUAUCC